GCAGCUCAUGUCCUUUUCCUGGGUAAGGCAGGUAGUAACUCACAGCUGGCUGUGUGUAUUUUGGCUCUCAGACUUCUUUUUAACCAGUGGUUCCAGAUUUCUGGAUUUGACAGAAAAACAAAGCCAGAAAACAAGUGAAAGCCAGGUUCCCAUAAAGAGUUGCAGCUUUAAAUUUACGCUCCCUAAGGGCAUGGAGAACAUACCUACGAUCUAUUAUCACCAUCAUUAAAGAAAAUACUUCUGUUUCUUUGAGACAGGGUCUGGCUCUGUCACCCAGGCUGGAGUGCAGUGGCAUGAUCUCGGCUCACUGCAACCUCUGCCUCCCAGGUUCAGGCAAUCCUACCGCCUCAGCCUCCAGAAUAGCUGGGACUACAGGCACGCACCACCAUGCUGAGCUAAUUUUUGUAUUUUUUGUUGGGGGUUGGCGGGGUUUGCUUCAGCCCAGGCCAGGCUCGAACUCCUGGGCUCAAGCAAUCCACUCGCCUCAGCCUCCCAAAGUGCUGAGACUGCAAGUGUGAGCUACCACGCCUGACCUAAGAAAAUACAUUUUAAUUCUCAAAAUAGGAGUGACAUCAUCUGAAUCUGUUAGUUCCAGCCAGGCGCGGUGGCUCGUGCCUAUAAUUCCAGCCCUUUGGGAGGCCGAGGCAGGCGGAUCAUGAGCUCAGGUGUUCGAGACCAGACUGGGCAACAUGGCAAAACCCUGUCUCUACCAAAAAUACAAAAAAUUAGCCUGGUGUGGUGGCGCAUGCCUGUAGUCCCAGCUACUUGGGAGGCUGAGGCGAGAGGAUUGCUUGAGUCUGGGAGGCAGAGAUUGCAGUGAGCCAACAUCGCACCACUGCGCUCCAACCUGGGUGACAGAGUGAGAACCUGUCUCAAAAAAAAGAAAAAAAAAAAAGAAAGAAAACAAUUAUUCCCAAGAAAAGAUGGUCAAUGGACUUUAUGCCAACAAAUAGACAUUCCUUUGUCUUUAAUUUUUUUGUUGUACUGUGGACU
This 993-nucleotide long non-coding RNA is filed under the name Homo sapiens (human). RNAcentral describes it as "HSALNT0105506". The record is from RNAcentral. Lineage: Eukaryota; Metazoa; Chordata; Mammalia; Primates; Hominidae.